RNAcentral lists this long non-coding RNA (9653 nucleotides) under Equus caballus (horse). Its description in RNAcentral is "lncRNA (ENSECAG00000038864.2)". Lineage: Eukaryota; Metazoa; Chordata; Mammalia; Perissodactyla; Equidae. The record is from RNAcentral.
GGGACACCAGAACCUCGGCUUCCAGGGUUGUCACUGAGCCGGUGCUAUGCCAGGGCGGCCCAUAUGGUCGAGCGGUUGUCGCCAGAGACACAGAGCAUAAAUAAACCCUGGGAGUACAGAUGGGAGGCCGGCUAGGCUGGCUCCACUUCCUGGUCUCAUCACAGGGGAGUCCGUGUGGAAGCCCUGGGAGGCACCUCAGCCAUUUUCCAGGCCAACGACUGCAUUUGUCAGACGAGAAAAGCCAGAGGUUAAGGGACUUGCCAAAAGUCACACAGUGAGUCAACUGAAAAGCAGUAAGAGGUGGUGGCUAAGAGCACAGCAUGACUCCAUUGCCCUUGGCUUUGGCAAGUGACUGAAGUUCUCAGUUUCCUCAUACCAUGAGUGUGAGGUUAGUACCUGCCACAUUAGGUGCGUGGGACCCAAUCAAACGUAAAUGUGUGAGGCGCCCACUGCCAGGUUCAUAAUCACUGCUCCGUGGCUGCUGAUGGUUCUGAUGCUUAUCAUGACCGCUAGGAGCUGGAGAUAGAUCUUGAGAUCUCUUCUGCCCGGGUCAUGGGUAAACAUGAUGGAUAAAAUUAUGUGAACCAGAGUUUGAAUUUUGGCUUCUAGUUUUGUGACUCCCCCUUUCUGAGCUCUCGUUCUCAUCUGUAAAGCGGAGCAGCGACACCACUGUUCACAGGCUUGCUGCGAGGAUGGGAGGCAGCAGCGAGGGGACGGAGCCCUCCCAGCAGUAAACCGCAACUGUGACCCCCUAAUUCAAAGCUCCUCCCCUCGGCGGCAGCGAGGACAACGGCUUUCAGUUUGAAGAAUGUGACACUCGGCGCCAAACCCUUUCCAGGUGGCUGUUACACUAAGAUGGAGCCAGAGCAUCUCGGGAUGCUGUCCGACACUCCGAGGGCAGCAGAACUCUCGCUGGGUGGCUGAUGGCAGACCCAUUCUCUUGCCUCGAAUGCAGCAGACUGACCGCUUCCAGUUAAGUAAAAAUAUCAAAACCGUAACGUGCAUGAGAGCACCUUGGGAUAAAUGCAUUACGGAGCUGUCAUCACAGCUCUCACUCCACCAGUUCCUGCCGUUCAUGUGCGAUGCACAUGGGGCUCCUUGGCAAUCGGGACCACCGCUUCCUUCCAACACAGGUGAUCCGCUUCCUGGGCCGACCUCCGGGUCCUGCCACGACCCUCCCACAGUAGCCAUUUACUCGUUCUACCACUGGUUUUUUGCGUUUUGUUUUGUUUUGUUUUGCACGGAAUUAAUCACCUAUUUUCUACCAACUCGCCAGGCAAACGGGAUCUUUCACUUCCCUCAGUGCUUCUGUAACAGGAGGGGGUUUGAAUGAGAUGGGUGUUUUCCAAACUGGGCUGCUGGGGAGAGCUCUGAGCACUUCAAGGGGCUCACUAGGGGCUGCCGUAAGAAGGGAGUGCCCCGAAGGAGAGACUCUGGGUCCCUGAGCCUAUUGUUUCUGUUUUACAUUUUAGAACCCCACCUGAAAUUUUGUUUCAACAAAGGGUUUGGUGGCCAAAAACCCAUUCAGGAAUUAAAUAAUUAAAUACAUAAAUCAAUUACAUAAAGCUGCUGAGCCACGUGGUUUCUCAGGUCCUGUGCUGUGUUUCUCAGGUCCUGUGCUGUCCCACUCCGCAUGAUCAGCAGUGGACGAUCACAAUGGGAAUGGCCGAAUGAACAGGAGAACAUGCAGCCUGCAGUCUCUGGUAUGUGCCAGGGACACAGAGAUAACGGGAAAUGACGAAUGAGGCCAAAGCCAGCUAAAGAUGGGACUCCAGUUUGGCAUGUAACUGAGAAUUCUCCUCUGCUCUUGCACAAUGACAGACAAGGUCUCGUGGCCUUGAGGUGGGUCUGGGAAGGGGGUGAAUCUGGCUGGGCAGCUGGGGGCCAGAGUCUAAUUGAGUCCCCUGCUUUACCACCGAGAUCCUGAUGUCCUUGGUCCUCAGCUCCUGAGUGAUUCUUUCUAUAUCCCAGUGAUAACCAGCAUGACGUGACAGGUAGGGGGGAGGGGACACCCAAAACUCAUUGAUGAGUUCUGGCCACAAAGAAACUUCUGCAAAUGGAAAGAACCAUUACACACUUGCACACACACACACACACACGGGCUAUUCAUUUUAGAAAAAUCAUGGUCUAUUUGAUGACGGCUUAUGUUUCUUUCUAAAUUGAGUUCAAACUGGCAUAAAAACAUGUAUUUUGCUUUGUCCUUUGGCCUCUCUUCUUCUCAUUAUCUGAUAUUCUUUUGAGGAUCAGAUGCACGUCUAUCACAGGGAACAGGAACACCGAGGACAGGCAGCAAACAGCUUGGAGUGGUUACAAGGAUGAGCUUCCAGAGUCACGGGGCACGGGGCACCCAAGGCCUCGGGCACGUGGCAGAGCACAUUUGUUCCUUAAAGUCGGUAGGAUCCAGUCUGUGUUUUGAUAACAUUGCUCUGAAGGAGGCUCCGUCCCUUCUAAGUCAUGCCCUGGAGCUUAGUCCAUCAUAUGGCUCCUCUUAUUUUAUUCACAGCACUUAUUCUUACCUUUACCUCAUUGUCGAUUUGCUUAUAAUCUCUCUCCUCUAGAAGAAAGAGAGUUUGACAAGAGCAGCCACCUUAUCUGUCUUGUUCACCCACGUUUUCCCAGCUUAGAGCAGUGCCUGCCAUAGUGCAGGCACUUGACAAAUAUCUAUUGAAUGAAUGAAUGAAUGAAUGGCCCUCAGCCUUGCCUUCUUACUUAACACAAGCCUGGGGCAACCACGAUGCAGCCGAGGUGUACCAUCAGGAGAUCCAGUCUGCUGCCCCAGGAAAACCCCUAAAAUGGACUUUCCAUACCCACACCACAACAUGGAUGUCAUCUCCCCCAAACAGGAUAGCUUCGAGCGUGCAUUCAGUUCACGCAGGUGAAAAGUUCCCACGUGUUUUCUGGCACGUGGCAGGAGUUUGCCCAGGCAUUGCUGAAUCCAACACAGCUUUUAUCAUUUCCCCCAUUUCAGAGAAGAAAAGACUGAGGCUCAGAGGUGGACAGAAGUGGUAAAGCCAUGACUCAUGCCCCUAUCUUCUGAUUCUCCGAUCACAGCUCUUUCUGCCUCUUUAUGCCAUUUUUCUAGAACAAUCUCCCACACACACACUCAGUGCAUGUUAGUGGUUUAAGCUUACAUUUUUUAAUUUAAAAAAAUUUAAUUUAACAUUUUCCCCAAACAAACGCUUCAUUUUUCUUCUCAGCCAAGGCGUAUUCCCAAGUAAAGGCUUCAGAUAGACAGAUGGAAAGAGGGACAAGGGUCAUUUUCUACAGAGGGCAAUCUUUCUGGCAGGUCUUAGGGGGCAAACCCUGAACCCAGGCAUGCGGUGGACCCGGGGGACUCCCCCAGUCCUCCUCUCCCUCCUUUCCCCUGGAAGGGCAGCUGGGUCCUCUGGGCAAGCUGCAGAGCAAGGACCCUCCUCCCUCUUAGCUUCCCUCUCAAGCCUCAGUGGGAUGGGGACAAACGAUUUCUCUUGCAGGCGAAGAUCGGGCAGAGGUUUCUGGGCUGUGCCAAGCCACGGUUUUGUUUUACCUCGUGAUGAGGAACAGCUGUGUCCCAAAGGGGCGGCACCUCGCCGCCUCCGCAGUGUUUUGAUAAGAGGCGCGGGGUUGGCGAGUGUGGACGAGAUGAGGAAUCGCGUUUCUCGCAACAGUCCUCGCGCUCCAGGUCACGAGCUAAUCUCCUUUGGGAAACCGAGACCAGAGAUGGGCCUCCCUCUCUCCCUGCUAUCUCAGGGUAUUUUCUGUCACCAUGGAGAAUGGUAGAGGCUGGAAAAGGUCAAAAGGACACGGCCUACGAGCUGAGGCGGCAGAGCAGUGAAGCCUGUUGGAAAGUGCCAGCAUCCAAGAGGAGGAUGGUGAGAACCGUAGAGCCGGGUGCCGGGUCAGUCGGAUGGACACGGGUUCCAAGGCCACCUCUGUGCCGCCAGCUGUGGAUGUCCGAGUCUCAGUUUCCAUAUCCGUACCUAAAGGGCUGGUAGGAGUGAACGAGUUGGGCUGUGCAGGGCCCUUUGGUGUUUCAGGCGAUGUGAGUUGAAGAAGGAAUGAGCGCUUGGUCUUCAGAAGGGGCAGAGACGAGCCGCCAGGUCGGGUCAGAGUCACGGUUAACAAGCUCUCGGCUCCUCACUCCGUCGCUGUUUGGUUUUCACUGCGUCGCGAUUUUGCAGCUUUCCCACUCGGACCACCAACUUUCCUGAGCGUUUAGCCUUCUCUGCCGGCUGCCGUCCCCUCCCUCUCAGAGUCCCCCACCCCCAUCCGCAUCUACUUGAUGAUGACAGGAAUCGCCAGGGGCACCAGGCAGCUCAGAAGUAUACUCCAGGACAUGGCUGUCACACUUUUCUUUUUUCCUAAGACCCACAGUAAGAAAUAUAUUAAUAAAUUUUGCAUUGCAAAUCAACCCACACAUACAUAUAAAUGACUGAUUAAAGAAAUUUCAUGAAACACUCCCCGUCCUUCUUAUCUGCACUCUAUUAUUUUCUUUUCCAUUCCACUUCAUUCCAUUCUAUUCUACUUUAUUUUGCCUUUGAAAGUGCUGGUUACCACCCAGUAAUCUAGUUCAUUAACCAGCUGCCAGUUUGAGAAACACUGGUUUCCGGUGGGACUGCCAUGCCGUUCUCUCUGUCCAGUUGUGGACUGUAUCAGUGGCCCUAGAAACCUGUGUUCCAAUUCACAGCCUAAGAAUCAUCAGGGGCCUUGAUAAAUGUACAAAUUUCCAGGCUCCAUCCCCAGAGAUUUGACAGCGUUUCAGAGACUGGUCAGAACCAGAGUGUCUCGUGGGGUCUCCCUGGCACUGAGAUGGAGAUUCUGAUUCCAGGGAGAAAGCUUCUGAUUGGUCUAGAUGGGUCAGAGAAGGAAGAUGCCUUGAUGGGCAGUCCCACCAACACUGUAUCCCUUGGGGUGGGUAGCUCCCCAAAGUAAGUAGAAGAAAGGGUGAUGGAUGCUGCCAGGGACUGUUUGUGUCGCCCCAAAAUUCAUAUGUUGAAAUUCUGACCCCGAAUGUGAUGGUAUCUGGAGGUGGGGCCUUUGGGUUGAUUAGGUCAUGAGGUAGAACCCUCAUGAAUGGGAUUAGUGCCCUUAUUAGGAGACGCCAGAGAGCUCUCUUGUCCCUUCUGCCAUGUGAGGACACAGGGAAAAGAUGACUAUUUAUAAACCAGGAAGCAGGUCUGACUAGACUCUGAAGCUGCCAGUGCCCUGAUGUGGGACUUCCCAGCCUCAAGAACUGUGAGAAAUAAAAGUCUGUCGUUUAAUAAGCCACCCAGUCUAUGGUAUUCUGUUUUAACAGCCCAAACAGACUAAGACGCUGAGCAGGCAACAUCAAUGUCCACACAGAGACUGUUCUAGAACACCUAGGUAACAGUUUGCUAAGCUCUCCUCUGCUGCUUACAUUCUCCCGUGUGCUUUCUGGGGUGCCUAGCACAGUGCGCGCGGCAGGCAUCCAACGCGUGUGGGUUGCAUGAAAACCAACGUACAGUUGCAUUUUGACCACGAGUCUUGGUCAAAAUGAUUGGGUUUUUGACCCUGUGCUUCAUGUACACAAUUGAAGACAAAAUCCCUGAGGUCCAGUGUCUACUGAUUACAACAGAGUCCAGAAGAUUUUUUUUUUAAUUUUAUUUAACAAACUCUUACCAUGUACAAGCCAGUGUUCUGAGAGCCUUACAAAUAUUAACUUAUUAGGUCUACAUAAAACCCUCUAAGAGAGGUCCUAUUACAUGCCAGGCACUAUCUGAGGUAUUGUACCCAUGUGCUUCUAAGAUUCACACCUCUCCUGUAAGGGGCAGCGAUUAUUUUUUUCCAUAGGCGGACACUGAGACUCGGAGAGGUUAUAUAACUUGUCAUAGGCCCCACAGUAAGCAGCAGAGCUGCACUUUGAACCCUAGAAAGGAGGAAUGAGUCAGGCCAGGAGAAUCUUUGAAACUGCAUUUCAUCCUAGAGAUACCAGUUAGCUCUUGCAUGCUAAGAACAGCCACAGGUUGAAAUGCGCCAAGCCCUGAGGGAAAAAGAGCUCCCUUCUUACAAACAGAAACAGAGACAUGGAACCAAAGUGACUCACAGAAGUUCCCGCUGUGGACAGGACGCCGAUCAACACAUGGAACCUCCAGUGGCUGGCUGGGCAUUCCUAUAGCUUCGAUGUGCCCUCAUUCUGUUAAAAUGCAGUGACAAGGAAAUUCAUCACUGCUCACAUGAUUUUUGUUUUCCAAUGAGAGGAAGAAAGCUCUAUUCACUCACGGAGAGUUUUGUUCAAACAUCAAGCUCUAUUUUAAUUUUCUAGUGGCCAGUAUUGCAGUCAGCCACGCUUUAAAACAAUGACCCCGAAUUCCUCUUGCCUUCAUUGCAGUGACAAUGUUGUUACAGCUGACUAAUACUCUUUCUCAGUCUGUGUGGCUAACCAGCAUUUUCUGAGUUAAAUAUGUCUCUCAAGGUUGUCCCAGGUAGGUUCUGGGAUGGAAACUCUUGCUCCUAAUUUGGAAAAACGGUCCCUAGGGUCAUUUUUCAAUAAUAAAUAACAAGUAUAUAUUUAUUAAUAAAAAUAAACAAGUGGCAUGAUUUGUGGUUUAGAACUGUUCUGUUUAGCUUUUGGAUCCAAAUAUGUUUUCUUGAUCUUGGAUUUAGAUUCCGUUUGGUAUAGUGCCUAUGACUAUGAGAGAUUUUAACAGAAGGAAGUUAUAUUGGAAUUUGUAUGCAAUAAUUACUUUUCCAUAGGUGGCGAGUUUAAACAUGCUGUUCUUCCUGAAUUUCCUUCAGUUGAGUGUGAACAUAAAAUAUAGUUGCUUAAAACCACAAUUUAUUGCUUCCCGUGCUCUGUCGGUUGACUGGGUAGUUGUUUUUAUGGUCUUACCUGUGCUUACUCAUGUGGCCUCAGGCAGCUGACCCUUCGGCUGGGUCUGGAAAGUCUGAGAUGACCUGACUCACAUGCCUGGGGCCUCGGUGCUGGUUGUUGGCUGGGCCCCUCUCUUCAUGAGAUCUCUCAUCAGUCAGUAUCUAGUUUGGGCUUUCUAUCAUGGGGCAGAAGUGUGCCAAGAGGGCAAAAUGGAUGCUGCAGUCUCACACAGACUAGGCUCUGUCUAGUGACAGCCUCUUCAUGUCAGUUCUGCCAUAUUCUAUUGGCCAAAGUAAGUCACAAGGCCAGUCUAGGUAGAAGGGGUGAUGACAUAGAUUCCAUCUUCUAAUAGGAGGGGCUGCAGAAUUAUUUUCAUUCGUCUCACACAAAAUACAUUUAACCCCUGCCCAAAGGUCUCACUCCUUUAUAGAGCAUCAGUCUCAGUCUCAAAGUCCAGGUUCUUGAUCAUCUAAAUGCAAAUACAGGUGAGAUGCUGUGGAUGCAGUUUCUCAGGUCAGCUCUUCAGAUGCAGCUCUCCUGGAAUCAGAGAACUAUAAACUAAAGAGCCGUGUUACCUGCCCCUGCUUUGCAGCAUACUUGGUAAAGUGUGUUGCCACGGUAGAUAGUUCCCUUCAAAAGGGGAGGAAUGGGAGGCACACGGCAGUUGCUGGUCCACAGCAUUCUGAAAUCCAGCCAGGCACAAAAUUCCAAUUUCCCCAUUCCAGAAGUAUGGCAUACUCCUUAAUUAGGGCCCACUUUUGCUUCCUUGGAGUGUGUCUCAGUCAGUUAGGGCUGCUAGAACAGAAUAACACAGACUAGGGGGUUAAACAGCAAUUUACACACAGCCUUAUAGUUUUGGAGGCUCGAAGUCCAAGAUCGGGGCACUGGCAGAUUCAGCGUCUGGUGAGAGGCCUCUUCCUAAUUUGCAGAUGGAAAUCUUCUUGUUGUAUCCUCAAAUGACAGAGCGAGCUCUGGUCUCUUCAUCCCCUUAUAAGGGCAGCAAUCCCACCACGGGGGCUUUACCUCCAUGACCUCACACAGACCCAAUUAACCUCCCACAGGCCCCACCUCCAAACACCACCGCAUUGGGGAUUAGGGUCUCAAGAUCUGAAUUUUGGAGGGACACAAACAUUCAGUCCAUAGCAGAGUGGUUCCAUAACCUAUUCUUCUCCUUGGCUCUUGGCUCCACUCUCUGGGCCUUGGCUCUGCUCUCUGAGUUGUCCUUCCUUUUCCAUAGGAAAUGGCCCAUGUUUGCAACUGAGUAGUUUUUUUCUCUGCCUGCUUCCUUCCCAUAGAAAGUUGGGGGCCUAGAGGCCCAGAGGUUCUUUUCACUGUCAUUUCAUUCUGCCCCUUUAGGUCCAAGCUGGGGGUAUUUUCAACAAUACAAUGUCUUAAUUCUGAUUGGGGUUGAAUCUAUGGUCCAAAGAUGACAUCCAUUAUUCUUUCUUGAGACAGCCCUCUCUCUACUUUGAACCUGUUGUGGGAUAUUCCCUUAAGAUUCUUACAAGCCCUUUGUCCAGCUGAGAGGGUCUAUUAGGCAUCAGCUUAUCACUUUCUGAGGUCUUCUUAAAGGAUCUCACAGUCAUACCCUUGACGGAUUUUUAGCCUCGUGCCCUGUUUUCCUUGGAGAAUGUUUUAUUGGCUGGGAUGGGGAGCGUGUGUGCUGGAAAUAAGAGACAGUCUUGUUUUCUAAUCAAGCACGUCCUGGGUCUUCUAUAUUUCCUCUAAAUUCUGCUUGCAAACUAAACAGUUUUUCUUUAGCUCAUCUCUCUCUUCAUGCACCAUCAUAUGCAGCUAGGAGAAGCCAAUUGGCACUUUCAAUAUUCUGUCUAGAGAUUUCCUUGGCCAGAUCUACAAAUUCAAUAAGUAACUUUGUAUUUCCAAGUUACCUUGGGCAAUAAUUUGGACUAUUUUGGACUAUUGUUCCACCAUUACAUAACCUGGGUUGCCUUUUCUCCCAGCUUCCAAUAGCAGUUUUCUCAUCUUCUUUCCAACCCUCACUAAUGGCAUCCUUCCCACCUUCCACCCACCUCCCACUCCAUAGCUAAUGUCGUUAAUUUUAUGUUUUUGUUACUGCAACAUCUCACUUUUAAAUACCAAGUGUGACAGUUAAUUUUAUGUGUCAACUUCAUUGGGCCAUAAGGUGCCCAGAUAUUUGACAAAACAUUAUUCCAGGUGUGUCUGUGAGGGUGUUUUUGGAUGAUGUUAACAUUAGAGUUGACAGAAUGAGUGGAGCAGAGCACCCUCCUGAAUGUGGCUGGGCCUCAUGAAAUGCAUUGAAGGCCAUAGAACAUAAAGGCUGAGCCUCCCGAGAGGAAGAAGGAGCUCCUCCUGCCUGACUGUUGAACUGGGACACGGGUCUUUUCCGGUCUUCAGACUUGAAUUGAAACAUACGCUCUUCUUGGGUUUGAGAGUGCUGAUUUUUGGACUGGAAGGACACCGUCAGCUCCCCUGGUUCUCAGGCCUUUAGACUCAGAUUGGAACUACACCAUCAGCAGUUUGGGUCUCUGGCUUGCUGACUGCAGAUCUUGGGACUUCUCAGCCCGCAUAAUCACGUGAGCCACUUCCUAUCGGUUCUGCUGAUCUAGAGAAUGGUGAUAACACACCAACUUCUGUCUGUUACUUAUUGCCACAUCUCAAAACACCACAAAGCUUAGUGGCUUAAAAUACGAGUAGGCAAACGUUUUGUAAAGAGCAGGAUAGUAAAUAGUUUAGGCUUUGUGUGUUUAUCUCUGUCUCAACUACUCAACUCUGCCUUUCAGCACAAGAACAGCCAUAGACAAUAAUGUAAUGAAUGAGGGUAGUGACGUUCCAGUAAAACUUUAUUUACAAAAAAAUGUGC